GUGGGGAAUAUUGGACAAUGGGCGAAAGCCUGAUCCAGCCAUGCCGCGUGUGUGAAGAAGGUCUUCGGAUUGUAAAGCACUUUAAGUUGGGAGGAAGGGCUGUAAGUUAAUACCUUGCUGUUUUGACGUUACCGACAGAAUAAGCACCGGCUAACUACGUGCCAGCAGCCGCGGUAAUACGAAGGGUGCAAGCGUUAAUCGGAAUUACUGGGCGUAAAGCGCGCGUAGGUGGUUUUGUAAGUUGGAGGUGAAAGCCCCGGGCUCAACCUGGGAACUGCCUCCAAAACUGCAUGACUAGAGUACGGUAGAGGGUAGUGGAAUUUCCUGUGUAGCGGUGAAAUGCGUAGAUAUAGGAAGGAACACCAGUGGCGAAGGCGACUACCUGGACUGAUACUGACACUGAGGUGCGAAAGCGUGGGGAGCAAACAGGAUUAGAUACCCCAGUAGUCC
RNAcentral lists this ribosomal RNA (450 nucleotides) under uncultured bacterium. Its description in RNAcentral is "partial 16S ribosomal RNA". It matches the Rfam family "Bacterial small subunit ribosomal RNA", at positions 354 to 796 of the family's 1533-position model. The record is from RNAcentral.